RNAcentral lists this ribosomal RNA (460 nucleotides) under uncultured bacterium. RNAcentral describes it as "partial 16S ribosomal RNA". It matches the Rfam family "Bacterial small subunit ribosomal RNA", at positions 338 to 795 of the family's 1533-position model. The record is from RNAcentral.
CCUACGGGAGGCAGCAGUGAGGAAUAUUGGUCAAUGGCCGCAAGGCUGAACCAGCCAUGCCGCGUGAAUGUCAGUGGCCUAUGGGCUGUAAACUUCUUUUGUGCGGGAGCAAUAAUGGUCACGUGUUGCCAGACUAGAGUACCGUACGAAUAAGCAUCGGCUAACUCCGUGCCAGCAGCCGCGGUAAUACGGGGGAGGGAAGCGUUAACCGGGUUUAGUGGGGUUAAAGGUGGCGUAUGCUGGUAGGUAAGGCAGCGGGGGAAUGCCCCGGCUCAACGGGGUGAAGGGCCAUUGAUACUGGCUUGCUGGAGUGCGGAUGACGUGGGAGGAAUGUGUGGUGUAGCGGUGAAAUGCAUAGAUAUCAGACAGAACACCGAUUGCGAAGGCGUCCCACGAAUCAGCGAUUGACGCUGAUGUACGAAAGCGUGGGUAUCAAACAGGAUUAGAUACCCUAGUAGUC